RNAcentral lists this ribosomal RNA (325 nucleotides) under uncultured eukaryote. RNAcentral's name for it is "partial 18S ribosomal RNA". It matches the Rfam family "Eukaryotic small subunit ribosomal RNA", at positions 1470 to 1796 of the family's 1831-position model. The record is from RNAcentral.
CCCUUAGAUGUUCUGGGCCGCACGCGCGCUACACUGAUGCAUUCAACGAGCCUAUCCUUGACCGACAGGUCCGGGUAAUCUUUGAAUCUGCAUCGUGACGGGGAUAGAUUAUUGCAAUUAUUAAUCUUCAACGAGGAAUGCCUAGUAGGCGCAAGUCAUCAGCUUGCGUCGAUUACGUCCCUGCCCUUUGUACACACCGCCCGUCGCUCCUACCGAUUGGGUGUGCUGGUGAAAUGUUCGGAUCGGCCGUUUGUCGCGGUUUCCGCGGCUCGUGGCUGAGAAGUUCAUUAAACCCUCCCACCUAGAGGAAGGAGAAGCCGUAACA